This 1636-nucleotide long non-coding RNA is filed under the name Homo sapiens (human). RNAcentral describes it as "PREDICTED lncRNA (TCONS_00027006)". Lineage: Eukaryota; Metazoa; Chordata; Mammalia; Primates; Hominidae. The record is from RNAcentral.
ACAUAGGUCCCCAGAGAAUUUCAAUAUGUCUGAUGUCAAGAACGGAAAGUGAGACAGCCAGGUGGGAGGGGGUCCCUGGAGAAUCUCCAACCAGCCUGCGCACUGGGAAUGCGCACUGGAGUGAAAAUACAGAAGUUGGUGCCCUUUGCAGCAGCCAGGAGUCCGACUCCUCCUCUUCCUGUGUGGAACCUGGAAUUCAAACGGCUGGGUAGGAAGCACGCUAGCAGGGGCCUCUGGCCUUGCUGAGGGUCCCUGUUUCCCCUUUUCCUUCCUUUUCACCCAACAAAACCCUGCUUUACUCACCCUUCAAACCAUCUAUGAGCCUAAAUUGUCGUGGUCGUGGAAUGGACAAGGACCCAGUCUUUAGCUGAACUAAGGGAAAGUCCUGCUUUUUGGCGCGCAACAGGGGAGCUCAAGAAACAGGCCUCACUCACGGCAUAUGGAACUAACCACGCCCCUAACUAAGAAGGCACACCUUAGUUGCAGUUAGCACACAAUUAAAGCAACUCUCCAAGUUUUACCUUAAAGUUCAAAAUUGCUAGGAGUUGAAACUACUAGAAAUAUAUUUACAUGCAAGAGUCAAAGAAACUUUGAACUAUUUAUGGCCUUUAAUAAUUAAGUAAGGUAUACUCCUGUGAUCAAGACUUGGAGCAUAUUUGUUUCUCUCUGCCUGGUUCCUCUAGAAAUUGGAAACUAUCAGAACAGAGACCAACUCCGUUUCCCGAUCCCUUUGCAAUCUGCAUUGAACCAUGAGUCAAGUUCUUGAUAAAGGAGUGAAAAUGUGUGUGACACAUGUGCUCAUGGAUUAUUGUCCGAAGCAAGACAUGUGACCAAGCCUAACAUCAACUGGGUGAAGAGCUAUAUGUUCCUUUCUCAAGAGGCACUACAAGUGACAUGCCACUGGGCAGUGGCUGCUAUGGAAACAAGUCCUGAUGCAUGACAGAGGAGGAAAGCUAUCAGUCCUGUGGUUAAAGAGGGGACAUUUCCACUAGAUUUCCAAUUGCAUAUGGAAUCAAGAAAGAAGCAACUGGGAAUUACUUCACACAGCAAAUCUAAGGAAGAGACUGUUAAUUUGGCUUUGCCAGUUACUCCUUCUCAAGGCCCAUAAUUAAAUGUGAGUUUCUGGGCACUAAUGCAAAAGCCAGAUUUGCUCUGAGCCUGCGGGGCUUAUAAAUUGGUUGCUUUUGCAAACUGUUAUUGUUCCUUUAGGUCAAGAGGGGAAGAAUUAUUGACUUUGUUCAGUUGAAUUAAAUGCUCCCCUUGUGGUUUGAAAGAAGAAAUUUGCCUCCCUCACCCUCUAAGAUUACAUACAAAGGGAGAAUUGUUUUUGGGCAAGUUAGACUUGAUGAAAAAAUAUACAGUUCUACUGGAUUAUAGCACUGUGUGUUGCCUUAGAGUCACAUGACUCCAGUUUUGCCUUCUAUAUGAAGCCCAAGGCUUUCAUCUUUUUCUGAUACAGUGGGCUCUUCAGCUUUAAGCACUGACUUUUGUGUGCUAGUAUACAAUGCCUGUACACUCCCACAAAAAGCUCAAGAUGUCCUUACACGUAUUUGCUGUAGGUGUCCUUCAGCCGAUUUCAGUGCCUAGAAUCUAGAUGCUUUGCACCUAGUUUCACCUUUGCUCACAGAUGCUAGUG